UCCAAACCAAAGAGACAUACAAGUUCAUUAAAGAUAAGAUUAUUGACAACAAAUGAACAAAUGCACAUUUACAGUAUUACAUGGAAAAUAAAGUAAACAUCAAAAGGGCAUGUAAAGAAAUUACAGGGCACAAAGGUUAAAUGUCACAAGGGCAUAUAGCUGCUUGACUUUUACAUUUCGUGGCCUUUAACAGGGUACUUGUUUGGAUGUUCAGUAAACUUACUACGAUUAGUAACCACUUUGAAGGUAGCACGACUAGUCUGUGAG
Molecule: long non-coding RNA, 267 nt
Filed under: Hordeum vulgare
Lineage: Eukaryota; Viridiplantae; Streptophyta; Magnoliopsida; Poales; Poaceae
Description: long non-coding RNA (HVUL_LNC004243)
Source: RNAcentral